RNAcentral lists this ribosomal RNA (305 nucleotides) under uncultured bacterium. Its description in RNAcentral is "bacterial SSU rRNA". It matches the Rfam family "Bacterial small subunit ribosomal RNA", at positions 333 to 655 of the family's 1533-position model. The record is from RNAcentral.
UUGUCCCUACGGGGGGCAGCAGUAGGGAAUCUUCCACAAUGGGCGAAAGCCUGAUGGAGCAACGCCGCGUGGGUGAAGAAGCGCCUCGGCGCGUAAAGCCCUGUCAGCAGGGAAGAAAAUGACGGUACCUGAAGAAGAAGCCCCAGCUAACUACGUGCCAGCAGCCGCGGUAAUACGUAGGGUGCAAGCGUUACUCGGAAUCACUGGGCGUAAAGAGCGCGUAGGCGGGAUAGCAAGUCAGAUGUGAAAUCCUAUGGCUUAACCAUAGAACUGCAUUUGAAACUGUUAUUCUAGAGUAUGGGCGG